CACGCUGUAAACGAUGAUAACUCGUUGUCGGCGAUACACAGUCGGUGACUAAGGGAAACCGAUAAGUUAUCCACCUGGGGAGUACGAUCGCAAGGUUGAAACUCAAAGGAAUUGACGGGGGCCCGCACAAGCGGAGGAGCAUGUGGUUUAAUUCGAUGAUACGCGAGGAACCUUACCUAGACUUGAACGUAUAAGUGAUUAUUUAGAAAUAGAUAAGCUAGCAAUAGACUUUUACGAGGUGC
Molecule: ribosomal RNA, 242 nt
Filed under: uncultured bacterium
Lineage: Bacteria
Description: partial 16S ribosomal RNA
Rfam family: Bacterial small subunit ribosomal RNA
Source: RNAcentral